AUGAGACCUUUAGUUGCAGGAGAAUCUAGAACAAAAAAAGAAAGAACAACUGGAAUCAAAUGGAAAUAUCAAUCAAAUACAUCAUAAAUCAACUAGACAAUGAACUCUAAAUUUAUCAACUAGACAAUGAACUCUAAAUUAACUAAAUCUUCACUAAUUUCACCAGAUCAAGCAACAAAUACAGUAAAUAUCUCUUUAAAUAUCUAACUUUAAGAUACAAUCAAAUGGGAAAAAAGUUAUAACUAAAACAUGACAGUCCGUGAAAAAUAAUAGAAAACCAAAACCCCAGAACGUCCAAAAACAAGAGCAUAAAUGCCAAAAUACAUAAACAAACAGUAUCAAAACAUAUCCUUUCAAAAAAUCAACUUCAAUCACCAAAACCCCAAAUCAAAAUUCCCAAAACAAGAGCAUUUACCAGAGAAAUACAAGUUAUCGUACAGAAGAACGCAAAUCUAGGGCUCCAAUCCUUUUCCCAAUAACUCGAGUAAAUGCUGAUUAUCAAGAGUUUUUAAAUAGGAAUUCAUUGAAUAGAGAGAAAUCGAAGUUCCAUUCAGUAGAUUACUAGUUUCUCUCUCUAAUUGUGAUCUGCAACCAAAGCUGGGGCUCCAAUGGUGAUUGAUACUAGUGAUUAUAGUUCUGCUGCUGUUCUUCUUCCACUUAUUAUUUGUUGCUUUUUCCUUUUAAUCAUUUUCU
This 693-nucleotide long non-coding RNA is filed under the name Panax ginseng (ginseng). RNAcentral describes it as "long non-coding RNA (PGIN_LNC004898)". Lineage: Eukaryota; Viridiplantae; Streptophyta; Magnoliopsida; Apiales; Araliaceae. The record is from RNAcentral.